CGCUGGGGUGUGAUUUUCAAGUGUCUCACAACACGUGCAGUACACCUUGAGCUUCUGAACUCCAUGGAUGUCGAUGCCUUCCUCCUCGCUCUGCGUCGAUUCAUCGCCCGGCGGGGUCGUCCAAAAGAAGUGCUAUCAGACUGUGGUACUAACUUUCGUGGUGCAGAGCGAGAACUUCGGGAGGCCUUCGCCACAAUGGAACCACGACUGAAAGAACAGCUGGAAGUAUAUCAGAUCGAUUUCAAGUUCAACCCACCAAAUGCUCCGCACUUUGGUGGAGCUUGGGAGAGAGAGGUGCGGUCGGUUAAAUCUGGCCUUCAAGUUGCAGUGGGCAGUCAGUCUGUCACAGAGGAUGUCCUGUAUACAGUUCUAGUGGAAGUGGAGGGGAUCUUAAACUCAAAGCCACUGGGAUACGUGUCAGCUGAUGUGGCCGAUUUGGACCCCAUUACUCCGAACAUCCUCCUAAUGGGGCGGCGGGAUGCAGCUCUGCCUCAGGUGGUCUAUGCUCCAGUUGGUAUGGGGCGGCGACGAUGGCGACAUUGCCAAGCACUGGUGGAUCAGUUCUGGCUUCACUUCACGAGGAACUACUUACCAACCCUCCAGACUCGGCAAAAGUGGCAAAGGUCAUCAAAGAACAUCACUUUGGACUCUGUCGUACUAAUCGUUGACCCAUCACUUCCAAGAGCUCACUGGUCCAUCGGGAGAGUCAUCAAGGCUGUCGCUAGCCCAGAUGGAUGUAUCAGAACAGCAGAGGUCAAGGUUAAGGAUAAAGUUUACGUAAGACCAGUUGCUCGACUUAUUAAACUUCCUGACCUUCAGGAUGACAUCAAAGACACUUGAAGAAUCCCUGGUCUUACACAUUUACAAGCAAAUGUGGGGGCGGCUGUUAAGAAUUCUUCAAGUUGUAGACUAAUGUGUACUGAUGCUUUUAUUUUGAAAUGUGCGCUCUUAUUUUGAAAGGUGUCUAUGUUGUGUUUCCCCUUUUCUCACUACGUUGGACUGUGGAAAUGUUUGCAGUGGUGCAGCAGUCACUGAUGAUGUAAGUUAUGUUCAUAGUGAUGGGAAAUGAAUAUAUACAUGUUACUUACUUCUUCUGAUAGUGUUGUUUAGUUCCUGG
This 1117-nucleotide long non-coding RNA is filed under the name Gouania willdenowi (blunt-snouted clingfish). RNAcentral's name for it is "lncRNA (ENSGWIG00000012568.1)". Lineage: Eukaryota; Metazoa; Chordata; Actinopteri; Blenniiformes; Gobiesocidae. The record is from RNAcentral.